CUGUGUGUCUGUCUCCUCUGACUGUGUGACUUUGCAUAUGUGUGCUGCCUCUCUGCUCCAGCCGUUAAGAGCCCAGUGCUGCUCAGUGUGUGUGCGGGCCCUUCAGAGCCACUCCCACACCAACAACACAAUGAGCCUGAUGUCCCUGCAGCUGUUCCUGCUGGCCCUGGGGCUCCUGGUUCGGGGUUCUUCAGGAGAAAUCAGCCUGACUCAGACUCCUAAAGCUGCAGCUGUGGACAAAGGAGCCUCUGUUACUCUCAGGUGUCAGACCAGUUCAAAUGUAGGGAAUCAUCUCGCCUGGUAUCUUCAGAAAGGCUCAGAAAUUCCAAAGCCCCUGAUAUAUGCUGCUACUUCUCAUCACUCUGGAGUCUCCAGUCGUUUCAGUGGAGGUGGUUCUGGAUCUGAUUAUUCUUUGACCAUCAGUGGAUUUGAGGCUGAAGAUGAAGGAGUUUAUUACUGUCAGCAGGGUUACAGCUUCCCGUUCACACAGUGAAAAAGACUCGUACAAAAACCUCCUCAGACUGAACUGAAACUGUUCACACUUCACUGAGUUUGACACAGAUGCUGCAGAUACUGUGUUCAUUUUUUGAUCAA
Molecule: non-coding RNA, 594 nt
Organism: Boleophthalmus pectinirostris (great blue-spotted mudskipper)
Lineage: Eukaryota; Metazoa; Chordata; Actinopteri; Gobiiformes; Gobiidae
Source: the annotation of a RefSeq genome assembly